RNAcentral lists this ribosomal RNA (253 nucleotides) under uncultured bacterium. RNAcentral describes it as "partial 16S ribosomal RNA". It matches the Rfam family "Bacterial small subunit ribosomal RNA", at positions 524 to 776 of the family's 1533-position model. The record is from RNAcentral.
GACAGAGGGUGCAAACGUUGCUCGGAAUCACUGGGCGUAAAGGGCUCGUAGGCGGCCAACUAAGUCAGACGUGAAAUCCCUCGGCUUAACCGGGGAACUGCAUCUGAUACUGGAUGGCUUGAGUUCGGGAGAGGGAUGCGGAAUUCCAGGUGUAGCGGUGAAAUGCGUAGAUAUCUGGAGGAACACCGGUGGCGAAGGCGGCAUCCUGGACCGACACUGACGCUGAGGAGCGAAAGCCAGGGGAGCAAACGGG